RNAcentral lists this ribosomal RNA (497 nucleotides) under uncultured bacterium. RNAcentral's name for it is "partial 16S ribosomal RNA". It matches the Rfam family "Bacterial small subunit ribosomal RNA", at positions 28 to 507 of the family's 1533-position model. The record is from RNAcentral.
GAUGAACGCUGGCGGCGUGCCUAAUACAUGCAAGUCGAGCGAACGGACGAUACUCUUGCUUCUCUGAUGUUAGCGGCGGACGUGUGAGUAACACGUGGAUCACCUACCUAUAAUACUGGUAUCACUUCGGGAAACCGGAUCUAAUACCGGAUGAUAUUUUGAACCGCAUGGUUCAAAAGUAAAAUACGGUCUUUCUGUCUCUUCUCGAUGGAUCCGCGCUGCAUUAGCUAGUUGGUAAGGUAACGGCUUACCAAGGCAACGAUGCAUAGCCGACCUGAGAGGGGGAUCGGCCACACUGGAACGGAGACACGGACAAGACUACUAAGGGAGGCAGCAGUAGGGUAUGGUACGCAAUGGGCGAAAGCAUGACGGAGCAAGGGCGAGUGAGAGAUGAAGGUGUUCGGAGCGUAAAAAUCGGUUAUUAGGGAAGAACAGAUGUGGAAGUAACUGUGGACAGAGUGACGGUAACGAGUCAGAAAGCAACGGCUAACUACGUG